CCCUUAGAUGUCCGGGGCUGCACGCGCGCUACACUGAAGGAAUCAGCGUGCUAAAACCAUUGUCGAAAGGCAUUGGUAAACCCAUUAAAAUCCUACGUGAUUGGGAUCGGGAAUUGCAAUUAUUUCCCUUGAACGAGGAAUUCCCAGUAAGUGUGGGUCAUAAGCUCGCGUUGAUUACGUCCCUGCCCUUUGUACACACCGCCCGUCGCUGCCCGGGACUGAGCCGUUUCGAGAAAAGCGGGGACUGCUGCUGUCGGGGCUUUCGGGCCUUGGCUUCGGUGGAAACCGCUUUAAUCACAGUGGCUUGAACCGGGCAAAANUCGUANCA
Molecule: ribosomal RNA, 328 nt
Filed under: uncultured eukaryote
Lineage: Eukaryota
Description: partial 18S ribosomal RNA
Rfam family: Eukaryotic small subunit ribosomal RNA
Source: RNAcentral